This 253-nucleotide ribosomal RNA is filed under the name uncultured bacterium. RNAcentral describes it as "partial 16S ribosomal RNA". It matches the Rfam family "Bacterial small subunit ribosomal RNA", at positions 524 to 776 of the family's 1533-position model. The record is from RNAcentral.
UACGGAGGGGGCGAGCGUUAUUCGGAAUUAUUGGGCGUAAAGGGCGCGUAGGCGGCUUUCUAAGUCAAAGGUGAAAUCCCUCGGCUCAACUGAGGAACUGCCUUUGAAACUGGAAGGCUUGAGGCCGGGAGGGGGUAGCGGAAUUCCCAGUGUAGCGGUGAAAUGCGUAGAUAUUGGGAGGAACACCAGUGGCGAAGGCGGCUACCUGGACCGGUUCUGACGCUGAUGCGCGAAAGCGUGGGUAGCAAACAGG